RNAcentral lists this ribosomal RNA (253 nucleotides) under uncultured bacterium. RNAcentral describes it as "partial 16S ribosomal RNA". It matches the Rfam family "Bacterial small subunit ribosomal RNA", at positions 524 to 776 of the family's 1533-position model. The record is from RNAcentral.
UACGUAGGGGGCAAGCGUUGUCCGGAUUUAUUGGGCGUAAAGAGCGUGUAGGCGGCCUGGUAGGUCAGCUGUGAAAACUCGAGGCUCAACCUCGAGACGCCGGUUGAAACCAUCAGGCUAGAGUCCGGAAGAGGAGAGUGGAAUUCCCGGUGUAGCGGUGAAAUGCGUAGAUAUUGGGAGGAACACCUGCGGCGAAGGCGGCUACCUGGACAGAAACUGACGCUGAGGCGCGAAAGCUAGGGGAGCGAACGGG